GAGGGUAUACUUCAGUGGUAGAGUACAUUCUUAGCAUGCCCAAGGUCCUGGGUUCAAUUCCCAGUACCUGCA
This 72-nucleotide transfer RNA is filed under the name Camelus ferus (Wild Bactrian camel). It matches the Rfam family "tRNA". Rfam says of the family: Transfer RNA (tRNA) molecules are approximately 80 nucleotides in length. Their secondary structure includes four short double-helical elements and three loops (D, anti-codon, and T loops). The record is from Rfam by way of RNAcentral. Lineage: Eukaryota; Metazoa; Chordata; Mammalia; Artiodactyla; Camelidae.